UUGCACACAGGAAGAAUGGGACAAAAUAACUUAUGAAACACUUAAUGGUUUGGUUAUUGUCAAUGCCAAAAUAUCUUUUAAGUGUGAGAAACAAUGGCAACGUUAUAAAGUGAAAAAUGCUUUACCAUCCCAAGUUGUUUUUUGGAAUUGCAGGCCUUAAAUGCAAAUGAAAUAAAGGUGAUGAAAAAUAUGAAAUAUCUUUAUACAGUUGGCAUUUUCCAUACUGUCUCAACUUUUUCUGACCUGGGGUUGUAAAAGCUAUGUAGAAACUAUGUGGUCAAGAUAAAACUUAAUUCUUUUUUUUAGAAAUACCUACAGCAGGAAAGUCUGUGUCUUGAGAGUGUCAAACAAAUUCCACAAUACAAAAAGCUGCUGAGAUCUGUUAAACCAGUUCUUUAAAAAAACAAACAAAAAAAAUU
This is a long non-coding RNA of Thalassophryne amazonica, 419 nucleotides long. RefSeq lists it as uncharacterized. The transcript is spliced from 3 exons. The record is from RefSeq and is a predicted model, not a curated record. NCBI's taxonomy places the organism in Eukaryota, Metazoa, Chordata, Actinopteri, Batrachoidiformes, Batrachoididae.